CGGAGGGCCAUAAAGUCUUUGUGGAGGAGUUCCACUAGCGCCAGACGCGCGUCGAAGCUUAAUUAUUUUCUCGGUUGACUACAGGAUGUCUGUGAUGUUUUUGUCCGCCGAGCUAGCUCCAGGUGACUCAGAAAUCUCUCUCACCGGGCCGAGCCAAGUUAAGAUUUGAGUUUGAAUCUGAGUUCGUGGAUUUCGUCAGAGGCGAUCCAGACGGGUGAGCAGACCUCCCACUCAGAACAGCUGUAGAGGUUUGGAGGCUGAGCGACCCUAGUCCUCAGGACUAUCGUCCCUGGUCACACCGUCCAGACGACCUGCAGCGAAUCCUGUUCAUAGAUGCCAAAAUUGUGGUGGAAAUUUCCCAUGAAGAGGCAGAUGAGAGAGUUGUCUUUUGUGUAAUUUAUUAUAAAAAUAAAGGAAAAUAAAAAUAAUGGGGAAAGCAAAUCAAAAGCAUCGAUGUUGAUCGUGCACAUCAACAAACCAAAAACCAGCUGGGGAGAUCAGUGCACACACCACGAAGGUGUGAUGCAAAGAGCCCACGAUCCUCAAGUUGCUUCUGCCUUUUAGCCUCUGUCCAACUAGGGUGGAAUGUCUUUCUAACCCAAUCAAAUUACAUGCACCAUCUCCUCCCUGUCGCAGUGUGUGUGAAGAUAUUUACAUUCUCACACCUGCUUAGCUGACGGCCAACUAUCUGUGAGAAAGGAGCACCGAGUCUAAACAGAUAGAGUCACAACUCCCCGACCUUGAUAAGAUAAGAUAAGAUAAGAUAAGAUAAGAUAAGAUAAGAUAAGAUAAGAUAAGAUAAGAUAAGAUAAGAUAAGAUAAGAUAAGAUAAGAUAAGAUAAGAUAAGAUAAGAAAACCUUUAAUAGUCCCGCAGUGGGGAAACUUGGGUUUGGGAGCUAGAGUUGAGAGUCUAUCAGGCAGAGACAACCAUUGAACAAUCUAGGUGAAAUGUCAAAUGCAUACAGUAAGACAAAACAUAAGAUAUUAAUUGCAGAACAUAAGUCAUAAAUCGUAUAAUAACUGCAUAGAAGUAAGGAAGACACAAUUUUUCCCAUAACAGCCAUAAUCAAGUGGCUGGCAUAGUAUACAGGAACAUCUGCACAGCGUGGGGACUGGAGACCUAAGGUCAAAGUGGGAAACACCUCCCAAGGUGGUAGAGAACGAGCGAGCCAAGAUUCUGUGGGAUUUCCAGAUACAGACGGACAGAAUGGUAAUGGAGAACCAACCAGAUAUUGUGGUUGGCAACAUCAGGAAAAAGUAGCAUGAGAAACUAGAGAAAUACCAAGGGCUCAGAGGAGAACUGGAGAAGGCUUGGAAGGUGAAGGCCACAGUGGUGCCUGUGGUGAUCGGAGCACUGGGGGCAGUGACCCCCAAACUGGAGGAGUGGCUACAACAGAUCCCUGGAAAAACAUCCGAAAUCUCAGUCCAGAAAAGUGCAGUCCUAGGAACAGCAAUGAUACUGCGCAGAACCCUCAAGCUUAAUGGCCUCUGGUAGAGGACCCGAGCUUGGAAAGUGGAUGAGACCACCCGCGUGGGGUGAGAAGGGAGUUUAUAUAUAAAUAAUGUUACACAAUCUAUAGGUAACUAACUCAAUAACCAGCACUUAUUGUAGAGACGUGACUAAUUAGCAACUAAGUUUGGAACACAACACAGUUAACAUACAGGUGCGCUAACGCAAGACAAAUACAGUCAGUGGGGCUGCCUUCUAUAACGUGAUUACACCGGGUGAAUCGUGCGCAACGUUGCCGCUUCACUGUGUGUUUGGCUGCAGUCGUUAGCAGUAACUGCAACAUGCAAUUGCACGAUUGGUUGUCGGUGUAGCUGAUAAUGGCACUCUAAUGGAUAACAAUUAGCUCCAUCCAUCACUCCCUGUCUGCAGCUGCUAGAAGGCUGAUGGCUAUUAGCUUUUUCCCCUAGUAUGUGUGAUUGCAGCGACCCACAGCAGCACAUUUCAACACAUGCUGUCGAACACUGCUCUCUGGCUGUAGCCGUUAGCAUCUCGCUAGGUCUUAACUUGCCUCACAUGGGUUACUACAUUUUAAACAGACAAACUAAUAUAUUAAAAGUGAAAGUCUGAAGACAAGGAGGAUAUGGCCUGUACAUGCUUUGGCACAAGUGGAGGAAGUGUCCAGGGAGAGGGAAAUCUGCACUUCUCAGAGUGUACCCACCACAACCCAGCUCUGUGUAAAGCAGUUAAUAUGAAAGGCUAAAGGGAAGCUAUUUUUUUUUACAAUUUUCUCUUUAAAUUGAAUUGAAUUAAUAUGAAAUUAACAUCUGCAUUUUAACCUAUCUCCUGGGGGAGCAGUGGGCAGUUGUAAAGUGUCUUGUUCAAGGACACACCACAUAAGUGGGGCUUAAACCUGGGACUUUCUGCUUCCCAGGCCAAUGCUCUACCUUCUAUUUUACCAGGCCAUUACUGAUUAAUUGAUUGAUUUAAUCAAUCAAAUUUAGUCAACUUGACACAGUUUUCGGUGUUUUGACACCAUCAUACUGGUGUCAUACAUAGAUUUUAAAUAUAAUGAUCAGAAAGUGCUUAUAUUUGCCAUUGUAUACCUGUAAUCCAUCUGUAUAUUUGUAAUACUCUAAUGCAUUAAAUGCACAAAAAGGGGAAAAAGCUUUAUUUUAAUUUUAUAAGCUCUCAUAAAAAUAAAAGGAUGAAAAUGUGUGUCUGUUCAACAAGUCACAUAGAUAUUAUAGAAAUACAUUUUUAAAAACUUUGUACAACAAACAUUCAAACAUAAAACCUCAAGCCUGUCACAAAUUCAUUUGAUUUAAUAGCUCAUUGUUCACUGUCAUACAGCCAAUUUCCAAAACAUUUGGAGAAACAGCAAGUGUAUAGUAAAUCCAACUAACGUUUUUACCAUACAGUUUUUUAAAAACAUAAUUACUUAAAUGAGAAAUUAAAUCUUUACAACACAAAGUGAUUUCAGAUUGAAUGCUUAUUUGAAUAUGUAUUAAAAAAAGAUAAAAAUAUCUUUUUUUUUCUGAUUUUACCCCAAAAAUGUAACAUUAAACAAGCACUUUUUUAAUUAGGGCAACUCCUAAGGCAACAUGUGAACUAAAAACAAACUAGAUAUUGCAUGGAGAGAUAUCUGUUCUGUUUUGUCCAUAAGGGCAUAGCCAGACCAGAUAACAAAACAACAACUAAAAAAUGACAUAAGAGCUAUCACAAAAACAUUUACACACAAAACGAUCCUGAAGUCAAAUAAAAUGUGGACCAAUAGCUCUUGGUGGAGUCUAUUUGAGAGCCAGAGAAUCACAUCAUUGUACUGUAAAUUUUGAUACAGCACAUUCAUCUGUGAACUGAACAAAUCACUUCAAUGAAAAAUACAGGUAUUUGUAUGGUGAGCUACUAAAGGAUUCAUGCCUGUGCAAAGGGACAGGUUAGAUUUAAGUUAUGAGCUUAUUCAUGCCAAUUUUUCUGAGGAACAGUUUGAUUGAUGACAAUUUAACCAGGUUUCACUUUCUGAUGUACCUUCAAAGGGAUUUAUGAGGUUUAAGACUUGCUCUGCAGGUCACAACUGCAAUUAGCCUUUAAUGUUACUCUAAGAGGACAGGGAAUGUACUAUGAUUGAGUGUCUUCACAAUGAUAGAAGUACAAUUUUUUGCAUAACAGGGACUCCAUAUAUGCAUUGUAAUACAGUCACAUGUAAUACAAUACAGUUUCUCUUAAAUGUCUGCAUAUGAUUAAAGCUUUUUGCUAAAAGCCUACCUUCACAUUCUGGAGGAUAGUGUGGUGCUGCCAGCUGUAGCAGAGUGGACACACACUGACCAGAGGACCUGAGAGCAAACACACACAAACACCCAACCCAUACUCACUGGCCUGCCAGACUGUUCACACACCAUGAACACAGCUGCUGAAGAAAAGUCUACCCAGAAGCACAGCAGCAAAGAGUCGGUUGAGAAAGCUGUAGAUAGUAAAGGUGCAGUUUGGUCUGCCGUCACAAAACACGAUGUGCAAUUUAUGUACAGAAUGCAUCUUCCUGUGGGCAGAAAAAUAGGGUCUAAACGGGUUAUCAUGCAGGACACAGUAGACUGCAGGUCUCUUCACAAAGCUAGACUUGAAACAAACUGUGUAUAUGUGUGUGUGUGUUGGAGUGUGACAGUUUGUAGUGUUAUAGUGCAUAAAUAGGAGGAGGAUCGUAGCAGUUCAUAUGUCUUUGCUUUAUCAUGACGUGCCCGGUCUCUUUUGUUGCUGAACCCGAAUCAGCUCCAGUUGUUUCUUGCAUUUCUGGUAGUAUGUGGACAGACUUUUGUUCUCCUCCAGUAGCUUUUUGUGCUCCUGAACCAGACGGGAUGUGUUCUGCUGGUCCUUCUCAUCUUGGUCCAGUUCAGCAAUGAGCUCCUUCCUACAGAAACAGGAAAUGAAGGUGGAAAAGGAUCAUUGUUUUCAGUUAUUUUAAACAUUUUAUUCCACUUAUUGCAUGACUGUCUAUUCUUAUAGUUAGCCAAUGAGUUCUCUGAGAAAAGAAAAGUUAAUACACAAUGCUCUGUGUCUUAGGAGGCAGAGUAUUUCCAGCUGGGAUGACAGCAGAAUCCUACAUCGGGUUGUUCCUGGUUUGUAACACACAAAAAUGAUGCAGGUGUGGAAAACUUGGCAAGUCAUUCCAUGGCUCUACCAGUAAAUAGUUCAUAGGAAGGUCACUGAAAUGAAAGUCAGGACUCAGGACUGUGUGAUUUACAUAAAAAUAUGCAAAUAAUAAAUAAUAAUAGAAAUAAAUAAUAACUACUGUC
Long non-coding RNA from Betta splendens (Siamese fighting fish), 4735 nucleotides. RefSeq lists it as uncharacterized. Lineage: Eukaryota; Metazoa; Chordata; Actinopteri; Anabantiformes; Osphronemidae. The transcript is spliced from 2 exons. The record is from RefSeq and is a predicted model, not a curated record.